UUGACCUCGGAUCAGGCAGGGAUACCCGCUGAACUUAAGCAUAUCAAUAAGCGGAGGAAAAGAGACCAACAGGGAUUGCCUCAGUAACGGCGAGUGAAGCGGCAACAGCUCAAAUUUGAAAUCUGGCUCUUUUAGGGUCCGAGUUGUAAUUUGUAGAGGAUGCUUCGGCGUCGGCUCCGGUCUAAGUUCCUUGGAACAGGACGUCAUAGAGGGUGAGAAUCCCGUAUGUGAUCGGUUGCCCUUGCCAUGUGAAGCUCCUUCGACGAGUCGAGUUGUUUGGGAAUGCAGCUCUAAAUGGGAGGUAAAUUUCUUCUAAAGCUAAAUACUGGCCAGAGACCGAUAGCGCACAAGUAGAGUGAUCGAAAGAUGAAAAGCACUUUGGAAAGAGAGUUAAACAGUACGUGAAAUUGUUGAAA
This 416-nucleotide ribosomal RNA is filed under the name uncultured Cenococcum. RNAcentral's name for it is "eukaryotic LSU rRNA". It matches the Rfam family "Eukaryotic large subunit ribosomal RNA", at positions 1 to 413 of the family's 3401-position model. The record is from RNAcentral. Lineage: Eukaryota; Fungi; Ascomycota; Dothideomycetes; Gloniales; Gloniaceae.